AACGCACAUUGCGCCCCCUGGUAUUCCGGAGGGCAUGCCCGUUUCAGAAUCAUUAAGUAUCUCACACUAGCCUUGCUUUGGGUGCAAACCUCAGGCUGGCGAUGUGUGGAAUCUGGACGCCUUUGUCCCUCUCUUGGUGCAAUCGUCUUAAAAUGAUUGUUCGUGCUGCCGGUUCAGUCGGUCUGCCCUCGAAGUGAAACAAAUUGAAUCGCUUAGAGGCUGGCUGAAGGGAUGGCGAGCUGCGUACUCCAACCAACCACACGGACUGGGCCUCCUCUUGAGGAGGUUCUUCCGAUAACUUGGUCUGAAAUCGGGCAAGAAAACCCGCUGAACUUAA
This 337-nucleotide unclassified non-coding RNA is filed under the name uncultured fungus. RNAcentral describes it as "partial contains 5.8S ribosomal RNA, internal transcribed spacer 2, and large subunit ribosomal RNA". Lineage: Eukaryota; Fungi. The record is from RNAcentral.